GUUUAUCUUUUCGGGAACAUCUAAUAAAAUUGGAACAAUGUAAAGAAUAUUAUAGCAUUGCCCAGCUUGAGGAUGACACGCAGAUCGAUAAAUAAUCCAUAUAUUG
Vigna umbellata (rice bean) is the source of this 106-nucleotide small nuclear RNA. The record is from RefSeq and is a predicted model, not a curated record. Lineage: Eukaryota; Viridiplantae; Streptophyta; Magnoliopsida; Fabales; Fabaceae.